ACGUUUGACCGGGUCAUAGAGGAGCGAGAGCAAAGAAACAGCAAGUGACGCGACCGUGCUCGACCUAAGGCAGAAGAGGAGAAACCGAGAGAAGGGGAGAGGUCGAGCAAGGAGGUGGUCGACCAUAGGAGAAGGGGCUCGAAGUUCACCGAAGGAGAGGGGAUUCAACGAUUUUGGGGGAAAUUGGUUCUUGGGCUCGCUGGUUUUUGGUAGACAGAGAGAACCGGCGGGGGCUAGAGGGGCUGGUUUUCGAGAGGGAGGGGAGAAGCUUGACGGGAGUGAAGAAGAACGAGAGAUAAAUCCGCGGGUGGAGGAGAAGAGAGACAGGAAGAGAGCAGUGAAGCGUUGAGCUUGAGCAAAACCCGCCUGGGUUCUUUCAAACGCCAUCUUCCAAUGGACUUAAAGGACCGCCGGAGGAAAAGGAGAGCCCCGGCCGUCCUGUCAAGCUUCUCUGCUAAAGAUGAAGCCCUUUCCGAUCAGUCGUCCUCAUCUAGCUGGAAGAACACCUCGUACCGUCGCCGGACAUCGUUGCUGACCGUGGCUGAACGGAGGUGCUCAUGCCGUAGGUUCGAUCCCUACACUGUAAGGGAAGUUGUUUCUUGUCCAUCGAAGCUUUGCCGGUGACCGUACGACCCCAAAAGCUCCACCACGAAUCAGGGGGAGGCACUUUCGGAUACAUACGAAAAGAAGUGACCACUUAUUCCAUAUAUGUAAAUCCAGGAGAAGUCAGAGAAAGGAAAAGUAAAAGAAAGGAUUUUUACAUCUUGACUUUUCUUCUCUGUGGAACGACUUUGUAGGUUCUUUCGGAAGAGAGCAGCCGCCCAAAGAAGACAGAAGGCAGCAGACUUUCUUGUUCAACAAAAUAUCUUGAUGGGCUAGAACUUAACCUUCCUUCUUAGCGAUCUCCCCGGAUCAUUGAGAUUUUGUUGUGCAUUACAACACUUACAAAAUCAAAGAAUUCCUGAAACACUCUUACAUC
Eucalyptus grandis is the source of this 979-nucleotide long non-coding RNA. RefSeq lists it as uncharacterized. The transcript is spliced from 2 exons. Lineage: Eukaryota; Viridiplantae; Streptophyta; Magnoliopsida; Myrtales; Myrtaceae. The record is from RefSeq and is a predicted model, not a curated record.